Molecule: unclassified non-coding RNA, 208 nt
Filed under: Hevea brasiliensis (rubber tree)
Lineage: Eukaryota; Viridiplantae; Streptophyta; Magnoliopsida; Malpighiales; Euphorbiaceae
Source: RNAcentral
AAGGAGAUAGAUAUCAGCAUCAUUAUAGACAGCACGAGCAAGUUGAAUCCUCUGCUUCUGCCCCCCGCUCAUAUUAAGUCCUCUUUGGCCUAUUUCUAUGAGAUCUCCAUGAUUGAAACUGUUAAUGUCCUUGUCUAAAGCGCAUGCUUUUAUUGCCUUCUCAUAUCUGGCCUCGUCCAUUGGCUUUCCAUAGAGUAUGUUAUCACGA